UACGAAGGGGCUAGCGUUGCUCGGAAUCACUGGCGUAAAGGGCGCGUAGGCGGCCGAUUAAGUCGGGGGUGAAAGCCUGUGGCUCAACCACAGAAUUGCCUUCGAUACUGGUUGGCUUGAGACCGGAAGAGGACAGCGGAACUGCGAGUGUAGAGGUGAAAUUCGUAGAUAUUCGCAAGAACACCAGUGGCGAAGGCGGCUGUCUGGUCCGGUUCUGACGCUGAGGCGCGAAAGCGUGGGGAGCAAACAG
Molecule: ribosomal RNA, 250 nt
Filed under: uncultured bacterium
Lineage: Bacteria
Description: partial 16S ribosomal RNA
Rfam family: Bacterial small subunit ribosomal RNA
Source: RNAcentral